GUGCAGCAGCCGCGGUAAUACCGGCAGCACGAGUGAUGGCCGCUUUUAUUGGGCCUAAAGCGUUCGUAGCCGGCCAGGCAAGUCCGUCGGGAAAUCUACCCGCUUAACGGGUAGGCGUCCGGCGGAAACUGCCUGGCUUGGGGCCGGAAGAUCCAAGGGGUACGUCCGGGGUAGGAGUGAAAUCCCGUAAUCCUGGACGGACCACCGAUGGCGAAAGCACCUUGGAAAGACGGACCCGACGGUGAGGGACGAAAGCUAGGGUCUCGAACCGGAUUAGAAACCCGUGUAGUCC
This 292-nucleotide ribosomal RNA is filed under the name uncultured bacterium. Its description in RNAcentral is "partial 16S ribosomal RNA". It matches the Rfam family "Archaeal small subunit ribosomal RNA", at positions 455 to 747 of the family's 1478-position model. The record is from RNAcentral.